UUAAAAGACCUAAUACAAUAUACAUAUCUAAGGAGGAGACGGAUAUAUACACAGAAGAAGAAGCUGCGCAGCUUGGAGGCUCUUCACAAAAACACACACUCUAAUACACAAGGAAAAGGGCUUCAGCUGCAAUACAAACGACCCCACCCCCCGCGCAUCAUCUUCUCGAGACGACCCCCACCCCCGUCGUCCUGCAUCUUUUCUUCAAUUAGAAACUCAACAAAAAAAUACAGACCUCACCCAUCUUCUCCACCGCAAUCAACACAGACCCCACCCGCGGAAAGCUAACAGCCCCCCUCUUUGAUUUUUGAUUCUAUGGAGUUUUGAGGUUGAGCGAGGUUCCAUGUCGACGGCAGGUUUACUGAACUCAGUUUUGGUCGAAUUUUUUGCUCCGAAUGGAUGUAUUGGUUGGUCGAAAUCAGUGUAUUAAUCAAGUUCUAGAAAAGAAAAAUAUUUUUGCUCAGUUAAGGUCCGCUUCUACUCCUUCUCUGGUCAGCUUAUUCUCCUUAAUUGAUGUAUGGUAGUUGAAGAAAGUUAUUUUUUCUUAUAAAUGUUGUUAUUGUAUUCAAAUGCAUUCAAAUGCAUCUUACAUCAAGUCGAAGCCCCAAUUUUCUGUCUUAUGUCUGCAAUUCCUUUUGGGAGAGGAAACCUUUACCAUUAUCAGAUAAAUUAUACUAGUUUAGCUUCUUACAAUAAUUCGAGUCCUUCUUGGACUCAUUAUCGCUAUCCAGAUGUAUCAUAUACUUUGAUAUAUAUGGCAUCUCUUUUAUUGUUAUGUUUCCUUGGAAUCUCCAUGUUACUUGUAGUUUGUUGUGAUGGAUAGAACAUUUGACCAUAUUAUGAGUAUUUUGGGGUUUUAAUAUGGCUUAAUUCUUAACUAUUAGGACAGUCAAAUAUGUUGAGAAUUAUUGGUGUAAGCAAGAAAAAUCACUCAUAUAAGCUUGUUAAUUGUUCUGGUUUGCAUAUUGUCCUUUGUAAAUACCUUUGUAUUAGCGUUGUUAAGAAUCAACGGAGUAGAUAAAUAAUUGGAAACCGUUGUAUUAGAAGAAAAAGGGUUGAAGAGUAGACAAGAAACGAAGAGUAGAAGCAGAUCGCGAAGGUGAGGGUAAUGGGGAACAGGUGUGGCGUUGUAACACCUAAGUAGGAGAAGAAUAGGUGGUCUUGGUUAGAGUGAUGAGAUUUUUGGCUUUGUCAGCUAUGAAUCUCAACAUUCUAAAAUUGUGAUUUAGCUUUAUUAUCGAUGUUUUAGAGAAUAAUGGGCGUAAUGUUAAAAUGUGGUUGAAGUCUUAAUAUUUCGGUCUUGAAACAUAAGGAAUUUGGGAGCAAGUAACGGGUCAUGUUGGCUAGUAAUUUACUCCCCAAUAAUGUCUUGUUCCUAAAUUUGACAUCACAACAAUAUCAAAAGUUACGAAAAUAACAAGUGCGUAGUUGCUUUAGGCAUGAAUUUAUUAAUAAAAAGUAUCUUCAUAAACUAGGGUGUGUAUUUAUGUGACCCAAAUCCAUAUCUCAAUGGAAUUGAAAUAUGUCUAAAAUUGCGUGCGCAACAUAAUUCCUUACUUAAAAAUAUUCUGGUUCGCAGACUGCAAUUGGGCAGUCAAAGUUUUUCUCGAUUUGGGAUUUUAAAUCGGUGACUUGGGACACCAAAAAGCUAAAUCUAUCCCAAGUGGCGACUCUUGAAACAAAUAAUUAAUCACAUAUCGAAUAAUGUCAUUUUAAUUGAAAAAACUCCUGUACGCGUGUUGCCUUUCGGGGUAACCACGUGUAAGCGGUAAAAAAGAGGUGUGACAACAUUGUUGAUUCAUUCUUACUUGAAUCGUUGCUACAUGUUAUCUCUUUCAUUGUUGACUUAUCCUUAUUUGAAGUCCUAAUUACAUGUUAUCUCUCCCAUUUUGAUUUCUUCUUAUUGAUAUCGUGGUUACACAUUAUCUCUCUCAUUGUUGAAUUAUUGAUGUUGAGGUUGUGAAAGUCGUUAUCACAUUGAGACGAAGUUGUUAAUUAUUGAGAUAUCUUCCUUAUUGAGAAAUUUAUAUUCAUUGUUAUGUUGAUAUUCUUGUACACAUUAUGAUUGAAUCAUAUGCCAUUGCUGUGAAAAUAUUGAUAUUGUUAAUUACUGAAAAGUUGUGGCAUAUGGGCACUUGUGGUGCGAGUUGUUACUGGGACAUGCUAUCGAUGUGCAUGCGGUGGUACAAGGAUAGGGGUUAAUGUGCAUGGAGCGACAUAAGGUGGUAUUUAUGUACGUGUUGCUAGUAAAGGAAUCACUUGAAGCCACGCAGCGUCAUAAGAUGGGCUAAAGUGCGUGUAGAUAUUUUGGAAAAAAUAUUUGCUAAACUAUUUGAAUGUAAGGCUCUCGCGGCGGUAUAAUGAGUGAUUGUGAUUGAAAUUGAGAAAUGUGAAUAUGAGGCGGUACUUUGGGUGUGAUUCUUGUAGUAUACGAGGAGGUACCUCAGUUUUAAUUCUUGUUGUCUACAAGGUGGUACCUCAGUUGUAAUUCUUGUUAUAUACGAGGUGGUGUGAUUCUUGUUGUGCAUCUCAUAUUUAAAAGAGUUAUCGGUGAAACAACACUUCUUUUUGUGUUAUUCUUCCUUGUCUUAGCAGUUUUAGUCCGUAUUUGACUAUUGUGGUUCUCAUUAAUUGCUUUCUUUAUGUUAUCUCUAUGUUUAAAAAUUUUCAAUUAGUCUAUAUUAUUAAGUUAUUUCAUAUCAUUCAUUCAGCGCUUUACAUUACUUCUCAUUAUAAUAUUUUUUCAUUCUAUUUUAUUAUGUCCUAGUAAGUACCUUGACCUAGCCUCGUCACUACUCUAACGAUGUUAGACUUGAUACUUACUAGAUACCAUAUUGGUGUACUCAUACUAUGCUUUUAUGCAUAUUUUUGUGCAGAUCCAGAUACAUCUGCUCGUGCUGGAUGUUAGUGUUUAAUCUUAGCUGUUAUCCGGAGACUUCAAAGUAUACUUGCUCGGCUUUCGCAUGACUCAGAGACACCUUCCCCUGUCUAUUUUUCUGUUGUAUUUCCAUUUAGAAAGUGUAGUAGUAGACAUUCUAGUUUGUUCUGUAGAGCUUUUAACUCAGUUCUAAC
RNAcentral lists this long non-coding RNA (3072 nucleotides) under Nicotiana benthamiana. RNAcentral's name for it is "long non-coding RNA (NBEN_LNC018261)". The record is from RNAcentral. Lineage: Eukaryota; Viridiplantae; Streptophyta; Magnoliopsida; Solanales; Solanaceae.